GUUGAGCUCCAGCACCGCGUAGUAAUCCUGCCCCAUGGCGCCCGGCCCGCUCUGCCCCACUCGCCCGUUGCUAUGGACGCCGCCCCGCGCGGCAUUCUGGGAGUUGUAGUUCUUUUUUCCUCCCCGCACCGGCGGUCACUUCCGGACUACAGAGCCUUCACCAAUGAGCCCUCCCAAACUCCUGGCCUACUGAAGCAGGACUUCAAGGUGAUGCCAGAGAUUCUUGGAAGGGUAAUGCCCCAUGAUGUCCACAAAGGAUUACAAUGGCAUGAUCAUUAGGAUAUUCUGAAGAGGAUCUGCUUACACUGGUAUCUCCGUAUUAACAAUUGGAAAUCCUACUGGUACCACCAUGGACAGGGCGGUUUGCUACUGACAGAAGCUCAUGAACUUCCCCAAAUGCUACUUUAUAGUAGAUACUGAAACUCAGCAAAAGUCUGAAGAGAAAUGGGAAUAUUUGAAUUUUUUUAUUUUCUGAGAUUGGAAGGAAAGAAAUCAGCAGCCUUCGGAAUAUGUAUUAGCUCCUAAGCUCGCCAUAGAACAACACUGGCUUAGCUGAAAAUGCAGCACUUUCCCUGAAGGAAAACUGGAGGAAGAGGGAAGACGACACAUUAGUAAAUGGUGGGUGGUCCUGUUGAACAGCACUGUUGGGCACGUUUGUUGGUCCAGCAGGUAUGUCCAUUUUCCUUCAGAUUUGCCAUUAUAAAGAUGACUGUGUAACAGCACUUGGGGUCUAUAAUAUGACAGCUAAAAGCUUUAUAGUCAU
This is a long non-coding RNA of Mauremys reevesii (Reeves's turtle), 763 nucleotides long. RefSeq lists it as uncharacterized. Lineage: Eukaryota; Metazoa; Chordata; Testudines; Geoemydidae. The transcript is spliced from 3 exons. The record is from RefSeq and is a predicted model, not a curated record.